RNAcentral lists this transfer RNA (73 nucleotides) under Acidobacteriota bacterium. Its description in RNAcentral is "tRNA-Lys". It matches the Rfam family "tRNA". Rfam says of the family: Transfer RNA (tRNA) molecules are approximately 80 nucleotides in length. Their secondary structure includes four short double-helical elements and three loops (D, anti-codon, and T loops). The record is from RNAcentral. Lineage: Bacteria; Pseudomonadati; Acidobacteriota.
UGACCCGGAGCACGAGCGGCAGUGCGGCAGCCUUUUAAGCUGUGAGGUGCGGGUUCGAGUCCCGCCGGGUCAA